GAGGAUAUGGCCCAGUGGUAAAGUGUGUGCUUAGUAGGCAUGAGGUCUUGGGUUCAAUCACCAGUACCUUCA
This 72-nucleotide transfer RNA is filed under the name Camelus bactrianus (Bactrian camel). It matches the Rfam family "tRNA". From Rfam's summary of the family: Transfer RNA (tRNA) molecules are approximately 80 nucleotides in length. Lineage: Eukaryota; Metazoa; Chordata; Mammalia; Artiodactyla; Camelidae. RNAcentral also lists the same sequence under 2 other names. The record is from Rfam by way of RNAcentral.